GCCAGACUCCUACGGGAGGCAGCAGUGGGGGAUAUUGCACAAUGGGGGGAACCCUGAUGCAGCGACGCCGCGUGGGUGAAGGAGUGCUUCGGCAUGUAAAGCCCUAUCGGCAGGGAAGAAGCAAGACGGUACCUGACUAAGAAGCCCCGGCUAACUACGUGCCAGCAGCCGCGGUAAUACGUAGGGAGCGAGCGUUGUCCGGAAUUACUGGGUGUAAAGGGAGCGUAGGCGGGGAUGCAAGUUGGGUGUUAAAUCUACCGGCUCAACUGGUAGUCGCACUCAAAACUGCAGCUCUUGAGUGAGGUAGAGGCAGGCGGAAUUCCUAGUGUAGCGGUGAAAUGCGUAGAUAUUAGGAGGAACACCAGUGGCGAAGGCGGCCUGCUGGGCUUUUACUGACGCUGAGGCUCGAAAGUGUGGGGAGCAAGCAGGAUUAGAUACCCUAGUA
This 445-nucleotide ribosomal RNA is filed under the name uncultured bacterium. RNAcentral's name for it is "bacterial SSU rRNA". It matches the Rfam family "Bacterial small subunit ribosomal RNA", at positions 330 to 792 of the family's 1533-position model. The record is from RNAcentral.